Molecule: ribosomal RNA, 359 nt
Filed under: uncultured bacterium
Lineage: Bacteria
Description: partial 16S ribosomal RNA
Rfam family: Bacterial small subunit ribosomal RNA
Source: RNAcentral
CCUACGGGAGGCAGCAGUGAGGAAUAUUGGUCAAUGGGCGCUAGCCUGAACCAGCCAAGUAGCGUGAAGGAUGACUGCCCUAUGGGUUGUAAACUUCUUUUAUAUGGGAAUAAAGUGCAGUAUGUAUACUGCUUUGCAUGUACCUUAUGAAUAAGGAUCGGCUAACUCCGUGCCAGCAGCCGCGGUAAUACGGAGGAUCCGAGCGUUAUCCGGAUUUAUUAGGUUUAAAGGGAGCGUAGGCGGGUUGUUAAGUCAGUUGUGAAAGUUUGCGGCUCAAACGUAAAAUUUCAGUUGAUACUGGCAUCCCUGGGGACCGUAGAGGUAGGGGGAAUUCGUGGUGGAGCGGUGAAAUGCUUAGA